AGAGUCCAGCAAGGAGGUCUGGGAUUCACACUGAGCACAUGUGUCUGCCCAGGCUUGGGAUGUUUUCUGGGAAGGACUACCUGAAAUUCAUCACGGGUUGUCUCCAGCAUGGCCGAAAGCAGUUCAAGGCAAAACCCGUUUUGAUGAUUUGGGAAUAAAAACAAAUGUAUGAGGGGAAAGGAAACUCAGAAGAGGAAUAAAAUCUAAAAUCAGGGUUUCUCUGUGAAGCCUUGGCUGUUCUGAGAUUUGCUGCAUAUACUAGGCUGUCCUCAAACACAAAAGGUCUGCAUGCCUCUGACUCCCGAAUUUUAGGAUUAAAAGCUUGGGAUGUUUUCUGGGAUGGACUACCUGAAAUUCGUCACGUCUACAUCCAUAUGUGUGAAAGUGCAUGAGGAGGACAUGGAAUGAUACCACAUAUCUUGCUACAAAUAUGUAUAAACAGUUGCUGUUUGUGGUCCCCCUCGCACCCACGAAUAACUGGGUCCUGCUGGAUGGAACAACACAUGCCAUUUAGAAUGUAACACCAUGUUUCUGCAGUUGAAAGAAGCGUUUGUGAGUAUAAUCAAUAAUUAAUUGCAUUUCCUAUUUUUGUAUUCUGAACAAAAUUCAUUAAGUCAUUAUUUUUGAAUUUUUAUCCUCACAUCUAAUUUUUUUUCUUUUUGCUAUGGCAUUAUUACCAAUCACCCACAAUGCUUCUCUUCUAAAUGUGUCUACAUUCAUUAAUUCUUUUUUAUCGCAUGAGCUACCUGAAUUCUAUUAAAGGAGACGGUCCACUCUCUGAGGCCAGUCCCUUCCCCAUUUAUCACAUUUCAUUUCCCCAUCUUCUGACUGUACUGAGGCUGCUGUCUGAGGGCCCGAAGACCUCUGGAAGGGCAUUUAACACAGAUCUGGGCCUUUAUCUAGGACAUGACAUCUACACCAGGCUUCCACUAUUCACUGCUUGGGUUUCCUCAGUCAUUUCUGGGUUCUUCACUGGCUCAGUCCUUUAUCAUCCUCUUUUCUGGGGUCAUUCAGUCUUAGGCAUUGUUUCAGCUGCAGGCACAUCGGACUCCAAAUCUGUAAUCCAGCCAAACUUCUAUCCUAGUCUGACUCUUUCCAACCUUCAACUCAGUAUUUCUGCUUGGAUGUCUCUUUGGAACCCUGGACAUGGCAUUGGCCCUCCACCUUAUCAUCAUCUUAUGCACUUUGGUGAAUGGUCAUUUUAGGCUUCCAGUUAUUCUUGACACCACCAUAGCUCUUCAAUUUUCAAUAUUUCACGCACUGUGAGAAAUCCGUGACUUGAUCUUCAAAGCAGACCCUGAAUCUUACCACUUCUUAUUUAUUCCAUUUCUACCUACGAAACACUCUUUGCCUAGCUGGUUGUGACAUCUUCCACACUAAACUCUCCUGCUAUUAUCCCAGUCUUCUCUUAUACAAGUCUGCCCUUUGCCCUUCCUAAUUCCACACAGAGGUUAGAGUGAACCUCCCUCAUAAUGCAUUGAUGAAUUACUAUGCCACUUAGGGUCAUAACUCCUGUUCUCCCAGUGGCCCCCAUGUCUUACACGGAGUUCCACACUCACCUUUUCUUCUCACUUCUUUCCUUGUUCACUCCUCACCUGUAUACAUUGAGCCUGUUUUCUAGCUGCCACCCUAGAAGGCCAGAAAGUUCUGGUCUCAGGACUUUGUUUUGUUUUGUUUUGUUUUGUUUUGUUUUGUUUUGUUUUGUUUUGUUUUUCGAGACAGGGUUUCUCUUUUAGCUCUGGCUGUCCUGGAACUCACUCUGUAGACCAGGCUGGUCUCGAACUCAGAAAUCUGCCUGCCUCUGCCUCCCGAGUGCUGGGAUUAAAGGUGUGUGCCACCACGCCUGGCUUCAGGACUUUUACAUUCAGGGCUCUUCUGAUAGAAUGUUCUAUCUAUAGUUAUAGCAUAGCUGACCCCGCCCUCCUUCAGCCAUUUUCUCCUGAGUCAUAUUCCUAAGGAUUAUUUCUGUGACUUCUUCAUAAAACGGGAAACUUCCCACACCUUUUCCUUGUCUAGGCUCUUCCAUUUCUGCCUUAUAUUCCAUGCCCAUAACAAUUCUCACAUAUGGCACACUCUAGAUUCCAUUUCAUUUCUUUGUCUGUCUUGGAUUUCAGUGAGAGAGCUCCAAGAGAGCAAGGAUAUUCAUUUCUGUGUCUUGAGACUAUAACGACUCUUUAAGGCACCACCCAGUUGGUAGGUAAAUAUGGUUGUGAAUGGUUUCCUUCCUCUUAUGCUUUCUUCCCAAUAUUUUCUUUGCAAACUAGAAAGAUCUUUCCAAAAACACUUAAUCAAUUAUUUCAUUGUUUCAUUUUAAUAUCAUUCAAUGUGUUUCAGUUUUUCACAGAAUGAAGGCUUAUAUUCCUAGUUGUGGAGUCUUGUCCUCUGGGAGCUGUGCUUGCUGCUUCAUUGCAAAUCAUGACACUUGAUCUCUUAUAUCUAAGCUAGCUACCUUGGAUUCUCUAGAAAGUUUUAUUCUCUACCUACCUCUGCUCCCUCUGGCCAAGCUGUCCCCUCCAAUUAAUGUUUCCCUGAUAUUUUAUAGAAUAAAAAAUAAUUCUAUUUGU
This 2564-nucleotide long non-coding RNA is filed under the name Mus musculus (house mouse). RNAcentral's name for it is "RIKEN cDNA 4930533I22 gene". The record is from RNAcentral. Lineage: Eukaryota; Metazoa; Chordata; Mammalia; Rodentia; Muridae.